This 579-nucleotide ribosomal RNA is filed under the name Triticum aestivum (bread wheat). RNAcentral describes it as "partial small subunit ribosomal RNA". The record is from RNAcentral. Lineage: Eukaryota; Viridiplantae; Streptophyta; Magnoliopsida; Poales; Poaceae.
AUUAAGGUACCGGCAUCUUGUAUACAACACCAUAUAAGCGACCUCUUGCAGUAUGAGGAGGGAGCUGACGUGACAUUCAAGGUUGGAGAUGACACAUUUGUUGCUCACCGGUGCGUGCUUGCAGCUCCGUCUGCGGUCUUCAGAGCAGAGCUAUUUGGCCCCAUGAAAGAGGGCACAAUAGGAGGUGUCAUCCAUAUAGAAGACAUGGAAGCAAACGUGUUUAAGGCAUUGCUUAGCUUUAUUUACACCGAUUCACUGCCUAAGAUGGCGGAUGAAAGGGAAGACCAAGAAGUGUUGUGGCUACAACACAUGCUUGAAGCGGCGGAUAGAUAUGAUCUUCCGAGGCUGAAAGUACUUUGUGAAGAGAAGUUGUGCCAACACAUAGAUGUGGGCUCGGUGACUACUAUUCUUACUCUAGCCGAGCAACAUAACUGUUCUGGAUUGAAGGAGGUAUGCUUUGAGUUUGUCAAGACUCCUGCUAAUUUGAAGAAGAUAGUUGCGGUUGACGGCUUGGAGGACAUAACAAGAACAUGCCCCUCUCUCUUAAAAAAGCUCAUUGCCAAGCUUGUGGGCCUUUAA